UACGUAGGGUGCGAGCGUUGUCCGGAAUUAUUGGGCGAAAAGGGCGCGUAGGCGGCGGGGUAAGUCGGGUGUGAAAUCUCAGAGCUCAACUCUGAAACUGCACUCGAUACUGCUCUGCUUGAGGACUGGAGAGGAGACUGGAAUUCACGGUGUAGCAGUGAAAUGCGUAGAUAUCGUGAGGAAGACCAGUGGCGAAGGCGGGUCUCUGGACAGUUCCUGACGCUGAGGCGCGAAGGCCAGGGGAGCAAACGGG
RNAcentral lists this ribosomal RNA (253 nucleotides) under uncultured bacterium. Its description in RNAcentral is "partial 16S ribosomal RNA". It matches the Rfam family "Bacterial small subunit ribosomal RNA", at positions 524 to 776 of the family's 1533-position model. The record is from RNAcentral.